AUGGCGAGAAGGGCACUCCCGUUCCCAUCCCGAACACGGUAGUUAAGCUUCUCUGCGCCAAUGGUAGUUGGGGGCUUCCCCCUGCGAGAGUAGGUCGCUGCCGGGC
Molecule: ribosomal RNA, 106 nt
Filed under: Listeria monocytogenes
Lineage: Bacteria; Bacillati; Bacillota; Bacilli; Caryophanales; Listeriaceae
Source: RNAcentral